AACGAACGCUGGCGGCAGGCUUAACACAUGCAAGUCGAGCGCAUCCUUCGGGGUGAGCGGCAGACGGGUGAGUAACGCGUGGGAAUCUACCUUUUGCUACGGAAUAGCUCCGGGAAACUGGAAUUAAUACCGUAUGUGCUCUUAGGGGGAAAGAUUUAUCGGCAAGAGAUGAGCCCGCGUUGGAUUAGCUAGUUGGUGGGGUAAAGGCCUACCAAGGCGACGAUCCAUAGCUGGUCUGAGAGGAUGAUCAGCCACAUUGGGACUGAGACACGGCCCAAACUCCUACGGGAGGCAGCAGUGGGGAAUAUUGGACAAUGGGCGCAAGCCUGAUCCAGCCAUGCCGCGUGAGUGAUGAAGGCCUUAGGGUUGUAAAGCUCUUUCACCGGAGAAGAUAAUGACGGUAUCCGGAGAAGAAGCCCCGGCUAACUUCGUG
This 433-nucleotide ribosomal RNA is filed under the name uncultured bacterium. RNAcentral describes it as "partial 16S ribosomal RNA". It matches the Rfam family "Bacterial small subunit ribosomal RNA", at positions 29 to 507 of the family's 1533-position model. The record is from RNAcentral.